This is a long non-coding RNA of Rosa chinensis, 400 nucleotides long. RefSeq lists it as uncharacterized. NCBI's taxonomy places the organism in Eukaryota, Viridiplantae, Streptophyta, Magnoliopsida, Rosales, Rosaceae. The record is from RefSeq and is a predicted model, not a curated record. The transcript has 3 exons.
CCCCAUCUCUCUUCGAAAAACAUAGAACCCAUCUCAAUCACUUUUUCAAACCAUCUCAAUCCCUCUCACGAGUUCUUGUUGGUGUUGAGAAGAUUUCAACGCUUUCAAUCCGUAUUGUUUCACUAUUGUUGGGGUGUUCGUGAAUCGGAGAAGGAGAUGAUAGGAGAGUUGGAAAACUAAAGGUUGCUGCUCCAGUUGAUAAGAGUAGUAAAGGAAAGGCCAUUUUUCAUUGGUUUUGCUAGCAUCUCAUUGAUGGGUCAAUUUAGUUUUGUCAUGUUUUCUUCAAUUCAAUUGUGUUUGUGGGUUUUGUAGAUUGGAUUUAUUGAAGAUUUUGAAAGCAUGUUUAUGAAAUCUUGGACAGAAGACCAUUUGAGGCAAGAGCCUCUACUUCUCCUUUCAU